AGCAUACAAAAAUUUACAAUUAACUACAGAUUUUUUGGUAGUCUGGAAAACCUUGACAACCUCCAUUAUACGAUCUGUUGGAAAUUUGCAAGCCUUAUAUUUAAAAAAAAUGUUUCUGGUUUUAUAUGGCUUUCACCCCCCGCUAAAAGCAGCUAUUUUCUGCCCAAAACCCGCCAGCACUGCUUCAGACCGAGCUUACACACCCAGAGGAAAAGAGAGAAGAACAGAGAGCAGAGAAAAGGUGCUGGCCCAGCCAUAAACUUUGCACAUUUGCUUUUGGGCGCUAUCCAUGUUUUAUGGCCAUAAGCACACGCACACAUUCGGGCUAUGCACACAUGCACAUACACACACACAACAACGUUUUCCCAAAAUGGUCAAAACGGGCCAUUUGACGCGCGCAUUCGCACACGCGUGAAUUGUGUGUCGUUUUACUAUUGUCUGCUCUAUUGCCAUUUCAUUCACUCCGGUUUGAAUUUUUGUUGGAUUUUUAUUUGGCCUGACAUUGAUAUGAUAUCGUAUAUCGUAUAGGCAUAGGUAUAGUGCCUCUGUGCGUGUCUGUGUGCUGUGGCAGGGACUGGAAUUGGAUUAUGCCGCUUUUCGACCGGCGCUUUUUUUGUAACGGUCGGCGCGAGAGGCGACAAUCCGGCGCAGGCGUUGCACACUAACUGAAAUUCGAAAUUCGGUGACUUCGGGGCCAGGAGGCUUGGCUACCGCCACCGCCGCCGCCGCUGCCGCCUCACCUGGCUCGGCUGUCGCACCUGACCGAUCCGAGCUGCCAAUAAUCUGCGCAGCACUGACGAUUAUAAUUCAGCGCUUGCUUCCAAGCUCGCCAAGCCCCCUGCCAAAUGAGCUGCCACAAUCACCUACUUUGGAGCAGGAUAGUAAAACAUAUAUAUUUAAAGUUUUAUCCACAAUAUGUUUACUUACUCUAAACAAAAGUUUAUACAAUUCCGUUGCCUAUUUUUAACUGGCGCCAGAGCAGUUUUACCAAAAUACAAACGUUUGUAACCUUUAUAUAUUUCACUGCCUGCGGUUGCAAAUUUUCCUAAAGCCAAGUGCAGGGUGCCUUUCAUACGCUUCUAAUCACAAAGUUUUAAAAAAUAUAAAUUUAACCCAUUUUCCCACUUCA
Long non-coding RNA from Drosophila gunungcola (fruit fly), 1129 nucleotides. RefSeq lists it as uncharacterized. The record is from RefSeq and is a predicted model, not a curated record. Lineage: Eukaryota; Metazoa; Arthropoda; Insecta; Diptera; Drosophilidae. The transcript has 2 exons.